AUACGGAGGGGGCUAGCGUUGUUCGGAAUUACUGGACGUAAAGGGCGCGUAGGCGGAUUGUCAAGUCAGAGGUGAAAGCCCUGGGCUCAACCUGGGAACUGCCUUUGAAACUAACGGUCUAGAGUCCGAGAGAGGAUGGCGGAAUUCCCAGUGUAGAGGUGAAAUUCGUAGAUAUUGGGAAGAACACCAGUGGCGAAGGCGGCCAUCUGGCUCGGUACUGACGCUGAGGCGCGAAAGCGUGGGGAGCAAACAGGAUUAGAAACCCCAGUAGUCC
Molecule: ribosomal RNA, 274 nt
Filed under: uncultured bacterium
Lineage: Bacteria
Description: partial 16S ribosomal RNA
Rfam family: Bacterial small subunit ribosomal RNA
Source: RNAcentral